Molecule: ribosomal RNA, 400 nt
Filed under: bacterium HPC1225
Lineage: Bacteria
Description: bacterial SSU rRNA
Rfam family: Bacterial small subunit ribosomal RNA
Source: RNAcentral
GUGCGUAAUAACUGGCAACCCGUACACGUUUUGCUGGGUGGAUUAUUCGGCGAACGGGUGAGUAACACGUGAGUAACCUGCCCCUGACUCUGGGAUAAGCCCGGGAAACUGGGUCUAAUACCGGAUAUGACUUUUGACCGCAUGGUUGAGGGUGGAAAGAUUUAUCGGUUGGGGAUGGACUCGCGGCCUAUCAGCUUGUUGGUGAGGUAAUGGCUCACCAAGGCGACGACGGGUAGCCGGCCUGAGAGGGUGACCGGCCACACUGGGACUGAACACGGCCCAACUCCUACGGGAGGCAGCAGUGGGGAAUAUUGCACAAUGGGCGCAAGCCUGAUGCACCCACCCCCUGAGGGAUGACGGCCUUCGGGUUGUAAACCUCUUCAGUAGGGAAGAACAAAGU